AUUUUGAAGAUUUGCCCUCGUUUAUCUUUAAUGUGUUUUGUGAGAUUCUGAAGCCGAGGUUAGGUUGGACGGAGGAAGCAAUGAUUGCAGGCUCCAGAGACGUUGGUGUGUCUCCUUCCAUUGUUGGGUCUUUCUCCAGGAAAGAAGCUGCUCUUGUUGAGGGAGAAGACGGAGAUUCAUGGGUAAUAAUCAUAUCAUGCUCUACUUAGCAUAUGUUAUCUUGCUUCUAGGGAUUAUCAGUUCAUCCUUCAACAUGCAGCGUUUACUCUUUGAAGCUACAUGUUAAAAAAGGAUCAAACUUGGUCUUGAUUUUUUGUCUAAACCAGGGUGUUGCAGGCUUGCAGCUCACCUUUCCCAGCAGAAACUGACUUCACGAAUACUUCAGGUUUUCAUCUUAAACCAAACCUAUUUUAAGCAUUUUUUUCUUAGAUUCUCUAAUCUUUCUUGUACCUUUUUUUUCUGGAUGAGAUUGUAAAGGAAGUGAAUGAGAAUCCAAACGAUGGAUGGAAAGCUGCUCUCAAUGAUCGCUUUGCUAAUGCCACCAUGAGUUUUAUGAUAUCAUCUUAUCUCUUGAGAGUAUCAAAGUCUUUUGUUAUUUCUGUAGAAAUACAAAAUUUAUCAUUGUUCCUGAAUUUUGAACAUGGUGUUGUAGCCGGUCUACCUUUAGACAAGAACGUAGUUAGAGGUAUUAAUAUUUCAGAUGAUUUUCUAGUUUCCUCAUUUUAAAAACUAAAAUCAAGAUGUGUUGUCUCUCAACUCUCUGCAAAAUAAAGAAAAACGGAACCAUGUUUAACAUUGUGAAACUAGAUGUAUCCGCAAGGAAGGAUGUCUCAUCAUUUCAGGGAGAUGUGUGUUGGAGACCAUUUUGCUGUUAAGGGAUCAAAGGUUCAAGUAUCAGCCAGGUCAGUUUAGGGCAUUUGGAAUGCUUGCUGGAGGCUCAGGCAUCACUCCCAUGUUCCAAGUAUUUCUCGUAUGUUUUAUCUAAUUAUAUGCAAGAGCUGCUUUUGAGUUAGGGGUUGUUUGUCUGGUUUUUGCGUCAAAUUCUAUAGGAAGUUUUACUUUGUUUCUUUCAUGUUUGUUUAAAAUUUCUAAUUAUAAAUUUGUAUUUCUAUUUUUCA
Brassica napus (rape) is the source of this 1118-nucleotide long non-coding RNA. RefSeq lists it as uncharacterized. Lineage: Eukaryota; Viridiplantae; Streptophyta; Magnoliopsida; Brassicales; Brassicaceae. The transcript has 5 exons. The record is from RefSeq and is a predicted model, not a curated record.